CACGACUGGCUUAAAAAUCUUUAGGUUAUUUUAAAGUGGCAUCUUUUUAUUUGGCUUCUGGUUUUUAACCUGUAGGUCACACUGGAAAUCACAUUUGCAAGCUCUUCUCCUCAACCAUGAAGGCUGCCAACUUAAUUGUUUCUCUUAAUCCUAGCUGAGAUUCUCAAGUAGUCACUUAUCUCCAGGCACUGGGACUUUAAAUAGAAUAUCAAAUAUUGUGAGACUUGUAAUAAAAUUGUGAGAAUGGGUAAUAACACUGUUUCUGUGACCUAAUAGGGCUUUUAAUCUCAACUUCUGUGAUUCACUGUGGAGUUACACAUCUUUUGGGAGGUUGGCAAACACCCCAAUCCUCAGUUCAGCAUAAUGACACAACAGCCUGAUGCAAGCCCCUUCAUAGUGAAAUGGUGGUGGGGAAUACAGAAGAUUUUGCAGCAUGUUAAGGUUCCUGUCUUCAUACCUGAUCAAUGGGAGACUGGGAGCCUGAGAAGCAACUGGAAAACCACAGAUGCUCCUGUUCACUGUAAAGUAAAGCAAAUGAUGAAACAAUAAAAGGCACCCAACACAAACAGCAAUUCAGCAAAACAGGGAAACAAAGACAACUGAGGAACUGUCUCUGUCCAUAAUAAAGGGAAGAACCAAGGAGAAAGCAAGUGGCCAGACGCUUCUUGUACGAAAAUUCACAUUUUCUGCUGUGGCUCUCCCUACAAAAUCCAGGAUCGCAAGAGAGUACUGUGAUUCCUGGCUUGAUAAGCA
Gopherus evgoodei (Goodes thornscrub tortoise) is the source of this 753-nucleotide long non-coding RNA. RefSeq lists it as uncharacterized. Lineage: Eukaryota; Metazoa; Chordata; Testudines; Testudinidae. The transcript is spliced from 3 exons. The record is from RefSeq and is a predicted model, not a curated record.